This 468-nucleotide long non-coding RNA is filed under the name Gorilla gorilla gorilla (western lowland gorilla). Its description in RNAcentral is "lncRNA (ENSGGOG00000044479.1)". Lineage: Eukaryota; Metazoa; Chordata; Mammalia; Primates; Hominidae. The record is from RNAcentral.
CAGCAGACAGCGAGGAGCAGGACAGGGCUGCACGUGACCAGGGGGCAGGAACAGGGCUCUGCAGGCUUUGUUGGAGGGUCUGGAUUGGAGCUGACUGAAAUAGUGUAAUGGCAAAUUUACACUCUUCACGUCUGUCUGAAAAUAGCACUCUCUCAGUAAAUGUGAACUUUGUCAGAAGGGGGUCCUUAUGCUGAUUUUGAAAUUGACAUUAGCAUCUGUCCUGAAGGAAGUGGAAGAGAAACCUCAUAAGUCCGUGGCCAUAUGAGAAGAACGCAGGACCCCUCAGAGCGCUCAUCAAAUCCAGAUGGAGUUUCCAAAACAGAGAUAUAGAUCAAUGGAACAGAACAGAGCCCUCAGAAAUAACGCUGCAUAUCUACAAAUAUCCAAUCUUUGACAAACCUGAGAAAAACAAGCAAUGGGGAAAGGAUUCCCUAUUUAAUAAAUGGUGCUGGGAAAACUGACUAGCCA